GUUAAGUCAGAUGUGAAAUCCCCGGGCUCAACCUGGGAACUGCAUUUGAAACUGGCAAGCUAGAGUCUCGUAGAGGGGGGUAGAAUUCCAGGUGUAGCGGUGAAAUGCGUAGAGAUCUGGAGGAAUACCGGUGGCGAAGGCGGCCCCCUGGACGAAGACUGACGCUCAGGUGCGAAAGCGUGGGGAGCAAACAGGAUUAGAUACCCUGGUAGUCCACGCUGUAAACGAUGUCGAUUUGGAGGUUGUGCCCUUGAGGCGUGGCUUCCGGAGCUAACGCGUUAAAUCGACCGCCUGGGGAGUACGGCCGCAAGGUUAAAACUCAAAUGAAUUGACGGGGGCCCGCACAAGCGGUGGAGCAUGUGGUUUAAUUCGAUGCAACGCGAAGAACCUUACCUACUCUUGACAUCCAGAGAACUUUCCAGAGAUGGAUUGGUGCCUUCGGGAACUCUGAGACAGGUGCUGCAUGGCUGUCGUCAGCUCGUGUUGUGAAAUGUUGGGUUAAGUCCCGCAACGAGCGCAACCCUUAUCCUUUGUUGCCAGCGGUUCGGCCGGGAACUCAAAGGAGACUGCCAGUGAUAAACUGGAGGAAGGUGGGGGAUGACGUCAAGUCAUCAUGGCCCUUACGAGUAGGGCUACACACGUGCUACAAUGGCGUAUACAAAGAGAAGCGACCUCGCGAGAGCAAGCGGACCUCAUAAAGUACGUCGUAAUCCGGAAUUGGAGUCUGCAACUCGACUCCAUGAAGUCGGAAUCGCUAGUAAUCGUAGAUCAGAAUGCUACGGUGAAUACGUUCCCGGGCCUUGUACACACCGCCCGUCCACCAUGGGGAAGUGGGUUGCAAAAGAAGUAGGUAGCUUAACCUUCCGGGAGGGCGCUUACCACUUUGUGAUCAUGA
Molecule: ribosomal RNA, 895 nt
Filed under: Serratia marcescens
Lineage: Bacteria; Pseudomonadati; Pseudomonadota; Gammaproteobacteria; Enterobacterales; Yersiniaceae
Description: bacterial SSU rRNA
Rfam family: Bacterial small subunit ribosomal RNA
Source: RNAcentral